RNAcentral lists this ribosomal RNA (551 nucleotides) under uncultured Paraglomus. RNAcentral describes it as "SSU rRNA". It matches the Rfam family "Eukaryotic small subunit ribosomal RNA", at positions 548 to 1103 of the family's 1831-position model. Lineage: Eukaryota; Fungi; Glomeromycota; Glomeromycetes; Paraglomerales; Paraglomeraceae. The record is from RNAcentral.
UUGGAGGGCAAGUCUGGUGCCAGCAGCCGCGGUAAUUCCAGCUCCAAUAGCGUAUAUUAAAGUUGUUGCAGUUAAAAAGCUCGUAGUUGAAUUUCAGGCCUGGCUGGACGGUCCGCCCUUCGGGUGAGUACUGUCUGUGGUCGGGUCCUACCUUCUGGCGAGGCGUCAUGGCCUUAACCGGCCGUGGCGGGGAACCAGGACUUUUACUGUGAAAAAAUUAGAGUGUUCAAAGCAGGCAAUCGCUUGGAUACAUUAGCAUGGAAUAAUGGAAUAGGACAAUGGUUCUAUUUGUUGGUUUCUAGGACCGUUGUAAUGAUUAAUAGGGAUAGUUGGGGGCAUUAGUAUUCAAUUGUCAGAGGUGAAAUUCUUGGAUUUAUUGAAGACUAACUACUGCGAAAGCAUUUGCCAAGGAUGUUUUCAUUAAUCAAGAACGAAAGUUAGGGGAUCGAAGACGAUCAGAUACCGUCGUAGUCUUAACCAUAAACUAUGCCGACUAGGAAUCGGGCGAUGUUGAAAAAAUGAUGCGCUCGGCACCCUAUGGGAAACCAAAG